GUAGUAAAUGUGAUUGAUGUGGGAAGAGCAGGAGGAGGUGGAGGGGCUUCCUGGAAAACGGGGAAAGCCCCAAUUAGCAGGGAGGUCCUGGGGAAGCCCGCAAAGGGAAAGCACCUGCAGCCUGUGGCAGCUCCUGCCUUCAAAGUCAGGGAUGAGCUGAGCACGUAACCCUCGCUGGUCCCCUUUGCUGACAACUCCCAGGGCUGUGGCUGGACCGACCUUGGAUGAGACGUACCAUGCAGGGUCAGAGAUACCUAGAGCCGGUCACCUGACCUUGCAUCUUUAAUUUGGACAGGAGUCAAAGUGCUUUGUACCAGGGCCGCAACUCUACUCCAUGUACAGACAUCUCGGAUCAGCCAGGAGGCUGCGUAUGAGAUUUUGCCUAUCAGAUAAAAUAGUGGAAGGCCCUCGGCUGUGCAGUAAUGGACUACAGCCCCAGCUGGCAACGGUCCUGUAAUUUGGAGCCGUAACUCUGCUCCGUACCUCCCGUGCCAGGCCCAGCAUGGGUCCCCAAAGCACUGUGGAGAUGCGAGUGAAGGAGAUGCUCGUGGCAAAGCAGGGAAGAACCAAGCGGAGGUCAACUGAGCAUCACUCAGAAGAUGAGAUUUGACAGCCGUGGCCUCAGCAAGACAACCCAGCCGUGCGAGGACCAGGUCCCAGGACUGAAACGCUUUCAAGACAACUACGCUACGAGCUGGGAUGUUCCUGAUUGGUUUUACAUUUCAGCAGCAGAAGCGUUGACUUCUAAAAGUACUUUUCUUCGUUAAAACUCAGUUGUCCCAAGGGCUUCUUGCGCAAAUAGCUGUAUGUCACAAAGACUAUUAUUUGUUUUGUGCUACCGUAGUGACUUGAGCCCUCCUAGGAUCUCAGGCCGUUGCGUCGGGCGCUGCAUGCGUGCAGAAGAAGAGGCAGACCUUCACCGCUGAGUCAGAUCCCCCUCUCACUCAUGCUAGCGUGACACUGAUGUAAAACAGAGGAGAACCAGGCCCGCUUGCUCCAGUAAGAUGAAGUUUGAAAACUUUCACAGCUCACAGUCAUUUCCUUGAAUCAUUUCGACAAAUCUGUCUCUCUGACUAAACUUUCUCAGAGGAAUUUCCAGGGAGAGAGGGAAAGAUCAUCCAGGGCCAGAGCACUUGCCUGAGAGGUGGCCGAAGUACCCAGACAGCUCUCCUAGAACGGAGACUUGCAUUUGUGUCUUCGCAGUGAAGCUGUCGCUUCAGCUUUCAUUGCACCUGCUCUUCACCAACAAUUUGAAAAGCUCCAGGAUGAAAAUAAGUUUUGAAAUCCCAUCUUUCCACAGAGCUCCACUAUUUCCCAAUAACUAUUUAUUCAAAGGGGCUGCAAGCAGACAAACAAGCCUGUGCUGAUGAUCGCAGUAAAGGAGAAGUACACAAGACACUUAAAUUUCAGCCUAUGAAUAUAUGAACUCUUGUUAGUUUUACAUAGGUGAGCAGGGCCAUGAAUUUGAAUUAAACGAUUAUAUGUAGGAAGCUGGAAGGCCAUCUCUAAUGUUUCUAAACUAUCACAUU
Long non-coding RNA from Dromaius novaehollandiae (emu), 1529 nucleotides. RefSeq lists it as uncharacterized. The record is from RefSeq and is a predicted model, not a curated record. NCBI's taxonomy places the organism in Eukaryota, Metazoa, Chordata, Aves, Casuariiformes, Dromaiidae. The transcript is spliced from 2 exons.